CUUUAGAGUUUGAUCCAUGGCUCAGAACGAACGCUGGCGGCGCGUUUUAAGCAUGCAAGUCGAACGGUAACAGGCCUUCGGGCGCUGACGAGUGGCGAACGGGUGAGUAACACGUAGGUGAUCUGCCCAUAGGUUGGGGAUAUACUGUGGAAACAUAGGGUAAUACCGAAUAGGCUUACCGGACUUUGGCCUGGAGAGCAAAGGGGCUUCGGCCUCGCCUGUGGAUGAGCCUGCGGCUGAUUAGCUAGUUGGUGGGGUAAAGGCCUACCAAGGCGACGAUCAGUAGCCGGCGUGAGAGGGUGAUCGGCCACACUGGGACUGAGAUACGGCCCAGACUCCUACGGGAGGCAGCAGCUAAGAAUCUUCCGCAAUGGACGAAAGUCUGACGGAGCGACGCCGCGUGGGUGAAGAAGGCGGAAACGUUGUAAAGCCCUUUUAUAGAUGAGGAAUAAGUAUCGGAGGAAAUGCCGGUAUGAUGACGUUAGUCUAUGAAUAA
Molecule: ribosomal RNA, 496 nt
Filed under: uncultured bacterium
Lineage: Bacteria
Description: bacterial SSU rRNA
Rfam family: Bacterial small subunit ribosomal RNA
Source: RNAcentral